GAAAAUCCGGUCGACUUUAGAAAU
RNAcentral lists this transfer RNA (24 nucleotides) under Primula chungensis. RNAcentral's name for it is "partial tRNA-Leu". The record is from RNAcentral. Lineage: Eukaryota; Viridiplantae; Streptophyta; Magnoliopsida; Ericales; Primulaceae.